This is a long non-coding RNA of Mesocricetus auratus (golden hamster), 4071 nucleotides long. RefSeq lists it as uncharacterized. Lineage: Eukaryota; Metazoa; Chordata; Mammalia; Rodentia; Cricetidae. The transcript has 8 exons. The record is from RefSeq and is a predicted model, not a curated record.
AACUGAAUUCAGUUCCUCUGCAAGAGCAGCGUGUGCCCUUAGCCGCUGAGCCAUGUCUCCAGCUGCUACUUGGAAAGUUUUAAUAAAUUCAUCACAGCCAAGAACGCACUAGCAAUAGAUGUGUUUGCUGCUGAGAGAGUCUUCAGUCUGCAACGGGAGCCAAUGCUCUUCUGUACGGAUCCCAGAGACAUCACUCCUGCAUUUAAUUAAAAGGGGAACUUUGUGAGUGGCUCAGCAAGCAACAGGGCUUCCUGUCAUCGAGCCUGCCAACCUGGGUUUGACCCCCAAGGGAGAGAACCAACUUAGAGAACCAGCUUCCUUCUGACUCACCACUCCUUGGCACCCCUCCCACUAACACAAAGUAAAUACAACAAAUGAGAUGAAGAGCAAACUUUGCCGCCGCUGCCACAGACGCCACGGAUUUCAAGCCUGGAGGAAGAUGGCGUGACCUAAGUUAACUGCCUUGGGGAUGCAGUGUCCCUACUGGCUAGGAAGACUGUUGCUGAGCCACCAUCUGCUUAGUGGUAAGAGCUAAGGAGGAAGCAAGCUGGACCUGGCAAAAACAAGGUCAACUCAGGACCGUCUUCACCAGCACUGGAGUUCAGAAUCUUCCGAAUGACUUGGGAGCAAGAAUGGGGAGUGAGACCAGAAGAGCUCUGUCCUGAGACCAGCCUGAUUUGACUUCGCCCUGGUGUGACUGCCGCAUUCCUGACCUCCACAGUCUAAAAAGUCAGGUCUUGCACCCAGCUCUCGGUCACCCACCGACCUCCUACAAAGGGAGGCCCACUGGUCAUGCACUCAGGCAACAGACAGGAAAGCAUUUUGGAUCUCCUGGCAACUGUAGAGGUCUACGGCUAGAGUGUCGUGCCACCGAUGAAUCCAUUGAAGUCCACUGUGGUCCUGGCCGGAAGCCCACUAGGAAAACAGAUCCAGACGUCACUGCUGGAAUCUACGGGAGAGCGUCUUAAAGAGAUAGAUUUGGAAUCAGAUUGUGAUAACUCUGGUCUCCAGAUACUCUACAAGGAAGCCUUCCAUAUGAGGAAAACUGCCUUGAAAGACCUUUGAAGUGACUUCAAAUGUCCGUGGCAACAUGAAAACAUGCUGUGUGUGGCUCUCAGGCCACAAAUCUCAGUGGAACAUGAUUGUGAUCAGAAUACCUAGAAUUUGCCUCUAAUGGAGGUACAUUCCCCCACAUUCCACUGACAUACUGGGUGUGUAUGGACACACAACUGUAUGAGGCUGGUAUUAGUGAGUAAACACAAUAACAGUUAUCAAAAAGCAUCAGGGCUACUUUAUUUGUGUGUGUAUGUUUAUGCGUGUGGGUGCACAUGUAUGUCGGGGUGUGUUUGUGUAUGUAGAGACCAGAGUCAGAGGAUAACCUCAGGUGUUGUUGCUCAGGUUCUGUUCCCCUUAUUUUGUUUGAGAUCGUGUCUUCAGCGGCCUGAGGCUUGCACUUUAGUCUGGGCUGUCUGGCCAGUGAGCCCUAGGGAUCCACUUGUCUCCUCCCCCCCAGUGCUGGGCUUACAAUUGUCAACGAUGCGAUGCGACUCUUUUGGCCUUUUCUCUUAUUAACACAUGGGUCCUAGGGAUCAACCUCAAGCCCUUUACCAAGGGAGCCAUCUUCCCAGCACCACCCCCACUUUGGAUUAUUCUGCUAGAAUUACUCCUAUACCUCAUGUCCAAAUGAGGUAAACAUCACAGACAGCCCUCAGAUCACUGAUGUGCAGGCUGGCAGGGACGGUAGCAGGUAGGGAGAACGAUGCUGCUUUCCCAUGUGGGUCCAAGGGCAUCCCCAGCUCACCCUCCAGAAAGAACAGGCUUGGUCUGGGAACGCAGAGCAACUGCAGGACCCCCUGGAGGACUUGGAUCAUCUGGCAAAUUAGAAUGAGAAUUCCUCUGUCCUGCAUCCCUUCUACCCCACAUUUUGUUUUGUAGAAUCAGAGAGAGAGAGAGAGAGAGAGAGAGAGAACAUAAUUUGUUCAUUGCCAUGAGAUCUUUCUUCAAAUAUUGUUUCUGAAAGAGCAAUUAAAAGUGAAUUAAAAAUGAAUUGUGGGCAGUUUUUGAAAUGAGUGCCUCGUUUCUAAAGCUGUUGAGAUAAAGUUCAAUUGAGCCUGCAAGAGUUCUCUCCAAAGCAAUUUCAGAAAACAAAGUGCUGUGCAAAUUGUAAUCACCAGGGAACUCUCGUCCACUCGGCACAGCUUUGCUGCCCAGGGCCUGCACAAGCGCAUCGGCAGCUGGUCUCGCCGUUCCCACAGUAACACAGGAGAACAAAAGCCAGGGUGAGGUGCUAACUGGAGCGGGAAGAAAUCAGACUGCAAUCAUUGUCAGGCUCACAAGGCAAGUUGGCCACCGUACGGCAAAUCCUGGUCUAAGAGCUCCAUCCUACUUCAAACAGCCCGACUCUAUCCGGCUCUCUGUCCCAGGAAGCUGCACUGGUUUCCCAUGGUUCUUAGGGAACAUUGUGACCUUUGCAGACAUCUGCACACAUGUGGCAAUGACACACACGUGCACACAUGUGGCAAUAACACACGUGCACACACGUGGCACAUACACACCAAAUAAAUAAAUUCUUAAAAAUAUUUCUUUAUAGGAGUUUACCAAUGGUCACCUCCCCCUCAUUCAUGAAUCUGUAUGUGUGAGCAUGUGUGUACGCGCGCGCGCGCGUGUGUGUGUGUGUGUGUGUGUGUGUGUGUGUGGUCUGCCGAUCUCUCUUCUGAACACUCCCAUGCUUCCUCAGCCUGCACCUCCACAGACCCUUGUGCAAGUCAGGGAAAGGCAGGUUUUAUGCUUGAGUGUGUACAGAGGGAGGCAGCCCUGCGGGCUCACGCUCUCUCCAGCAGAGGAUUUUUCUAACUCCUUUCAGGUUCUGAUGGCCAUGUCUCCCUCUAGUCCUGUCAGGGCUAUGUUGUUGGACCGUGAAGACGCACUGCUGUGACUGGUGCGAUCAAAGGCUGACUGGCCCAUAAGUAGGUGGGGUGCGGGGUGACUUUCAGGCACAGAAACAGGAUGUAGGAGGAGGCAAACGAGGUGCAGGGAGACACCCGUGAGACAUGGCAUCGAACAUGCAGAGUAAAAGAAAGGUAAAAUGUCAUGGGUGAAAUGUAGAUUAAUAUAAAUGGGUUCAUUUAAGUUAUAAGAGAUAGUGGGAGAAGCCUAAGCUAAGGCUAAGUUUUCAUAAUUAAUAAGCAAUCUCCGUGUCAUUAUUUGCGAGCUGGUGGCCCAAAGAAAGCUGUGAAUACAAGGCUAAGGAGUGACAGUCACAUGCUGACAUAAUUACUUUUAUGGAUUUAGUUAGCGGGCAUUUCUAAGUGUGCCUGUGAGGUAAGGAUGUUGCUAGUAGAGUCAGCAUUUUGCCCGAGAGACUGAAGAAGGCAGAUGAAAUCACACCACUAAUCCAUGCUGGCUUCAACAGGACAGAAGCUCAAAGGAAGAUGGAAUGUGCUCUAGGCCUGAGUGUUCCAGCAUCAUGUGGGCCUUCUGCUCUCCAGAGCAACCCCUGGUCCUCAGAUCUGGAAUCAGAACCACUAGCCCUGAGAAUCUUGACCCUUCAAGACAGGUCACCUGUUUUCCCAGUAUCCUGCCUGAAGAUGGUAGACCACAGGGCUUCUCAGUUCCCACGGCCACACGAAGAAUAUCAUUGGAUAUAAACAGUAAAGAUGGAGUGUAAGUCUAGGAGAUGUGGAUAAAAUGAUCUGACAAGCUUGCCCAGUGGACUAGCGGUGGUCAUCAUAUUGAUGUCAGAGCAUUUUUGUCUCCUUUGAGAGGAAUCCCCUAGUCUGACAGGACCCAGGCGUCGGGCAGGAAGACUACACGUUACAAGUCUCUGCAUCAAUAUUGGGGAACUGGCGGUACAAAGACUCGUUACAACCUCUGUCUUCAUUGAUGUUGAGCAUUGUUCAUUAGCUUCAUGUCCUUAUGGAUUCACUGAUUGUGGCUUUUCCCAUCUACACAAUUGUACAAUGUGUGGCUGUUGUUUUUGAUCUGUGUUCUUUUACUUGUCAUGCCAUUCCAAGAUGAUGAGGCAUGCAUUAACUCUACUUCUUAUCACUAAAUAAUAACCAAUUGUGUUAA